This 513-nucleotide long non-coding RNA is filed under the name Ananas comosus (pineapple). RNAcentral's name for it is "long non-coding RNA (ACOM_LNC003863)". Lineage: Eukaryota; Viridiplantae; Streptophyta; Magnoliopsida; Poales; Bromeliaceae. The record is from RNAcentral.
AUUAAAUUAAAUUCAUGAUUUAAACUCAAAUUUAAAUUUUAAUGUAAAAUAGAUGGAUAGAAAUGCUAUUUUUUAACAGAUUGAUUAUAACUGUUCAUUUUUAUUUGAAAUAUUUUUAACGAAUUGAUCAUAACUGUUCGUGGAAUUAGAUUUAUAGAUGGAUAUAAAUGUUAUUUUUUAACAGAUUGAUUAUAACUGUUUGUUCAUUCUUAUUUGAGAUAUUUUUUAAUAAACUGUCUGUCAUUGUAGGAAUUUCUAUACGUUUUUAUAUGUAGUAUAGAUAUAGAUAUAUUAAUAUUUUAAUAACAUAUAAUUAUAAAAUACUGAUUUCUAGAUCAAAUUAAGUAUAUAUGAAUUUUCAAAUUUUAUUUUUUAUAAAACUAAUCUGUGCUAAUAGAAAAUAAAAUAAGAUCAGUUGAUUUUAAGCCGUCAGAUUUUAAUAUAAAUUGAUAACAAAAUCCGAUCGCUUUGAAAACCGGACUGAUUCACUAGUUUAAUGGUUGAACUGCCGAU